RNAcentral lists this ribosomal RNA (253 nucleotides) under uncultured bacterium. Its description in RNAcentral is "partial 16S ribosomal RNA". It matches the Rfam family "Bacterial small subunit ribosomal RNA", at positions 524 to 776 of the family's 1533-position model. The record is from RNAcentral.
UACGUAGGGGGCAAGCGUUGUCCGGAAUCAUUGGGCGUAAAGAGCUUGUAGGCGGUUUGUCGCGUCUGCUGUGAAAAUCCGGGGCUCAACCCCGGACUUGCAGUGGGUACGGGCAGACUAGAGUGUGGUAGGGGAGACUGGAAUUCCUGGUGUAGCGGUGAAAUGCGCAGAUAUCAGGAGGAACACCGAUGGCGAAGGCAGGUCUCUGGGCAGUAACUGACGCUGAGGAGCGAAAGCGUGGGGAGCGAACAGG